Molecule: ribosomal RNA, 468 nt
Filed under: uncultured bacterium
Lineage: Bacteria
Description: SSU rRNA
Rfam family: Bacterial small subunit ribosomal RNA
Source: RNAcentral
AGAAUGAACGUUGGCGGCGUGGAUUAGGCAUGCAAGUCGAACGGGCCGCAAGGCCAGUGGCGGAAGGGUGAGUAAGGCGACGGUAACCAACCCCGAGGGUGGGCAUAGCCGGGGGAAACUCCGGGUAAUUCCCAGCGAUAUGACGAUCCGGCAUCGGGUGGUCAUCAAAGAUUUAUCGCCUCGGGACGGGCCGUUGUGGUAUUAGCUUGUUGGCGGGGUGACGGCCCACCAAGGCUACGAUGCCUACCGGGCGUGCGAGCGUGGCCCGGCACACUGGGACUGAGACACUGCCCAGACUCCUACGGGAGGCUGCAGUCGAGAAUCUUCGGCAAUGGGCGCAAGCCUGACCGAGCGACGCCGCGUGGAGGAUGAAGGCCUUCGGGUUGUAAACUCCUGUCGAGGGGGAGGAAGGGGCAACCUUGACCGAUCCCUGGAGGAAGCACGGGCUAAGUUCGCGCCAGCAGCCGC